This is a long non-coding RNA of Entelurus aequoreus (snake pipefish), 570 nucleotides long. RefSeq lists it as uncharacterized. The transcript is spliced from 4 exons. NCBI's taxonomy places the organism in Eukaryota, Metazoa, Chordata, Actinopteri, Syngnathiformes, Syngnathidae. The record is from RefSeq and is a predicted model, not a curated record.
UGAAAAUAUAUUUGUUUGUGUUUUGAAUUAUGUGAAGCAAUUAUUCCAAAAUUGUUAAUUAAUGUAGGUGACAUCAGGUGCCCUCAACUAAUUUCAGUAAGAAUCUGUUGUGUUUUUGUGUUUUCCUGCCUUCUCCUUUGUCUGCACCUGUGUAUUUAGUGAUUCGUCCUCGGCGAGGGGUGGACCUUGAGGCACACCUGCUCGUAAUUAGCCCGCCAGUAUUUAGGCUCGUCACUGACAGCUUGGCCUUGCCGGUUAUUGUAUCCUGAACCCCUCUCGUGCAUGCGCCUGCUUCACUUCACCAGACCUGCCCCCCUGAGGUAAAAGGAAUUAUUUUCUUGGACUCUUGCCCUGCUCAGUGCGCCCUGGCCGUUUCUCCUGCCGACCUCUGAGGAACCUAUUUUGUCCAGGUUACAUGACCUUAACAGAAUAUUUUAUAUUUCACCUGUAUUUUCCACCAGGGAACUAUCAUUUCAUCUUCUCCAGCUCGUUAAGGACUUUACCAUUCUCACCAAGCUGGUCAGUCAGGUCAGAGAUCUCCUCUACAAAACACAUUUCAAAAUCAGAUUC